Long non-coding RNA from Drosophila simulans, 715 nucleotides. RefSeq lists it as uncharacterized. NCBI's taxonomy places the organism in Eukaryota, Metazoa, Arthropoda, Insecta, Diptera, Drosophilidae. The record is from RefSeq and is a predicted model, not a curated record. The transcript is spliced from 3 exons.
UAAUUAAAAUGGGAAAAAAUCAUAGCACACUUUUCAGGGCACCGCCAUUGAUAUGCUGAUGAGACUGAAAAUCGUCCUGCGAGGCGAGGAACUCGGCACUCGGAACUCGCAACUGGGAGCAGGAGGGGAUCGGAGGGGCCUGACAUUGAAGUGACUGCCUUCAAAAUAGUGGGUGAGCAGCAUGUGCGUAGCCGCGGCGGCAGGAAGCUGCCAGAUUUUGCAUGGAGGAUGUGUGCGGGCGAAAUUGAAAAUGCCGCCUGGCUACAGAUUCCCCUCGAAGCGAAAGGAAACACAAUAUUUGUUCGGAUUAAGUCCCACACACACUGGCACCAUGCAGUUGAAAAGUUAAGGAAACUUAAAAGGAUUCAGCUCUCUACAAGAAUCCUGGUUACUAAGGAUAAUCCGCCUGUUUGAUAGACACUGUGCACCUUCAUUUGGCAGCGUCAAAUCAACACACACACACACACGCAAGUGUGAGAAUGAGCGUGUGUGCGAGAGUUGAUUUUCAAUCGAAGCAGCAGUCAACGGCCCACUUUUCCGGCACACUUCUCUGCCCCUGCAGGAAUGGAACCCCAAAAACCCCUUGGAAAAAACUUAUUUGCCAAGUUUUGCGGUUUUUGAGGUUGACAUGUUGCCGUUUAUGUGACCCAAAGAAGUGAGCAGCUGCUCGACAGCCAUCGCUGAUUAUGAUGAGACCGAGACAGGCCGUUCGGAA